This 30-nucleotide non-coding RNA is filed under the name Mus musculus (house mouse). Lineage: Eukaryota; Metazoa; Chordata; Mammalia; Rodentia; Muridae. The record is from RNAcentral.
UACCUAUAAUUCCAUUGUUGGAGAGGCAAC